RNAcentral lists this ribosomal RNA (200 nucleotides) under uncultured bacterium. RNAcentral's name for it is "partial 16S ribosomal RNA". It matches the Rfam family "Bacterial small subunit ribosomal RNA", at positions 8 to 236 of the family's 1533-position model. The record is from RNAcentral.
AGAGUUUGAUCAUGGCUCAGAACGAACGCUGGCGGCAUGCCUAAUACAUGCAAGUCGAACGAGAUCUUCGGAUCUAGUGGCGCACGGGUGCGUAACGCGUGGGAAUCUGCCCUUGGGUUCGGAAUAACUUCUGGAAACGGAAGCUAAUACCGGAUGAUGACGUAAGUCCAAAGAUUUAUCGCCCAAGGAUGAGCCCGCGU